CCUACGGGGGGCAGCAGUGGGGGAUAUUGCACAAUGGGGGGAACCCUGAUGCAGCGACGCCGCGUGGGUGAAGAAGCGCCUCGGCGCGUAAAGCCCUGUCAGCAGGGAAGAAAGUGACGGUACCUCAUAAAUAAGCCCCGGCUAACUACGUGCCAGCAGCCGCGGUAAUACGUAGGUUGCAAGCGUUAUCCGGAUUUAGUGGGUGUAAAGGGAGUGUAGACGGGAAAGCAAGUCAGCUGUGAAAAAGCAGGGAUUAACCCUGGACCUGCAUUUGAAACUGUGCAUCUUGAGUGCUGGAGAGGCAAGCGGAAUGCCGUGUGUAGCGGUGAAAUGCGUAGAUAUACGGAGGAACACCAGUGGCGAAGGCGGAUUGCUGGACAGUAACUGACGCUGAGGCGCGAAAGCGUGGGGAGCAAACAGGAUUAGAUACCCCUGUAGUC
Molecule: ribosomal RNA, 440 nt
Filed under: uncultured bacterium
Lineage: Bacteria
Description: partial 16S ribosomal RNA
Rfam family: Bacterial small subunit ribosomal RNA
Source: RNAcentral